UCGCUAGUAAUCGCGGAUCAGAAUGCCGCGGUGAAUACGUUCCCGGGUCUUGUACACACCGCCCGUCACACCAUGGGAGUCGGAAAUGCCCGAAGUCUGUGACCCAACCAUUAAGGAGGGAGCAGCCGAAGGCAGGUCGGAUGACUGGGGUGAAGUCGUAACAAGGUAGC
RNAcentral lists this ribosomal RNA (170 nucleotides) under uncultured bacterium. RNAcentral's name for it is "partial 16S ribosomal RNA". It matches the Rfam family "Bacterial small subunit ribosomal RNA", at positions 1332 to 1500 of the family's 1533-position model. The record is from RNAcentral.